GGGCCCGUGGUCUAGCUGGUUAUGACGUCGCCCUCACACGGCGGAGGUCGCCGGUUCGAACCCGGCCGGGCCCA
This 74-nucleotide transfer RNA is filed under the name Thermoplasmata archaeon. Its description in RNAcentral is "tRNA-Val". It matches the Rfam family "tRNA". From Rfam's summary of the family: Transfer RNA (tRNA) molecules are approximately 80 nucleotides in length. Lineage: Archaea; Methanobacteriati; Thermoplasmatota; Thermoplasmata. RNAcentral also lists the same sequence under 3 other names. The record is from RNAcentral.